GAAUAGAGGUAAAGAUGAAGUUUUUGUUUCAGUGUCCAUGUUGUUCUUGCUUUUGUUUUGUGAAGCCUAAAAAGGGGAAACCUAAAGAGAAACAAGUGAAGGAAAGUAAACCCAAGGAGAAAGAGAGUAAACCUGUUGAGAAAGAAAGCAAGGAUGAAAAGAAGACAGAGUGAAGUGAAGUGCAUUUUGUUGAAAUGUGAUAUGGGUAUGUAUGUUAUAAUAGUAGUAUAAGAUUAAAUAAUUGUUGCAUCAUCUUCGUCUUGGUGUGGUGGGUAGAUUAAAUUUGAAUGUGUUAAUUGGGGUAGGAUCUUGUUUAAAGUAGCUGGGUCCUAGAUGAAGUGUGUUUACUAGAUAGAUAGAUGUCAUGAAUGAUGAUCUCUGUUUGUAUUCCAGGUUAUGAGUUUUCAUGAUUUUGUCAUGUGUUCCAGUCUUCCAGAUUAUGAUCAAGAUCUUGUGUUCAUGAAUCAUGAUUGAUUAGUUUCGGGAAUUUCAUGACUCAUCAGGGUUAUUAUUUAGUUGUAUUUUGCUACUAAUUGGAAUGGCUUUUUGUAAUGCUGCUUUCUUAUUUGUUAAGAGGUGUAUUAUGGGUUGGGUAACGUGCUAAGCGAGAGUUCAUUUAUUAAAAAA
This 627-nucleotide long non-coding RNA is filed under the name Lactuca sativa (garden lettuce). RNAcentral describes it as "long non-coding RNA (LSAT_LNC005839)". The record is from RNAcentral. Lineage: Eukaryota; Viridiplantae; Streptophyta; Magnoliopsida; Asterales; Asteraceae.